Long non-coding RNA from Vicia villosa (hairy vetch), 1861 nucleotides. RefSeq lists it as uncharacterized. Lineage: Eukaryota; Viridiplantae; Streptophyta; Magnoliopsida; Fabales; Fabaceae. The record is from RefSeq and is a predicted model, not a curated record. The transcript is spliced from 4 exons.
GACAAAAGAAAGUAGCCUUUUCACAACCUUUCACUUCUCUCCCUCUCUAUUUUCUCUCUUCACGUCCCUUUCUCCUCUCACUUUCCCCAUCUCUUCUUAUCCUCUCUUUCAAAACCCUAACAAUACUGCAGCCUCUUCCUCCGAUCCUAUCUACGACCACCACACAUCCGCCGACGAUGCCUCUCUUUCUGGUGGCCAUCAAAACGCGAAGCACCAGUCACUCCGUUGCGAGCGACAAAUGAUAACCACCACUUUCAGAUCCAACACGAGUAUUUCUUUUUUUUCUUUCACUCUAUUAAUUUCAAGGGUUUAUGUUCCUAAUCCUUUUUGUUCUGCUUUUAAUUUUUCAGAUCUCAUUAUUCAUCAACUACGAUCUUCAUCCACGGGAAAACACUUGAAAAAGUUCAAACAUCAAAACACUCUCCUCUCUCUUGUCAUGUUGCAACUUUGGAUAGUAAAACUAAGUUUAAGAAGACAUGUCAUAUUUGGAGAGAGAGAAGUAGUCAAAGAAUCCAAUGGGAAAGAGGUUAUUUGAGAUAAUGGCUGAGAAGGAAAGUUAUCUGUGUUUGGUUGUGGAUGUUGGAUCUACAUCUGAAUUGCUUGAAAUUGCUGACAAGGUAUAUAGUGCUUGUAAGAUGGUGAGAGUGAUAUGGAAAAACCGUUAUGAGACAAAUUAUUUAAGAGGUUAGCUUAGGUGUUGGUCACUCUAUCAUUGAACAACCAAGUCCAUGAAACCAACAGGAUUGAAGUCCAAAUACCAGUUCAACAAAUACUCCAUUUAAAAGCAAUGAUGAUGCGAACAUAAUAACAAUUGCUUGAAAUACAUGUUUAAUUUUCAUUAUUCUGUUUGUUCUUAUUUUGGAUUGUCGACAUCCAUUGUCAUGAAUACAUUAUAUUUUGUGUAACCAUGUUUCAAAUUUUUUGUUGAAAUAUUUUGAUAUUAUAAUUUUGCAAAAAAACAUAUAUAAAUAUUAUUUUUAAUGUAUGUUUGAAUACAAUUAUAUUUUUAUUAGUUUUAUCAUGUAUUAAACCAUUCAUACUAUUAUUAUUAUUAUUAAAAUGAUCAAAUAAAAUUUUAAAAUUUGUAACGCAACAAUUUCAGUUAAAUUCACACAAAAAGUAUUGAUAAAUAUAGCUUUUAAUAUGCAUUUGAGUUCAAAUUCAUCAUACAAAAUUAUUUUAACCUAUAUAUAUAUAUAUAUAUAUAUAUAUAUAUAUAUAUAUAUAUAUAUAUAUAUAUAUAUAUAAACAUCUAAAAGGUAUACAUUACUUAAAUAUCUAAAUUCAAUUUCAUAACAUUACAUCUUAUAUUAUUUGUUCAUCGUAACAUCAUUUUAUUUCCUUGCAGGUUCUUCCACUUUACUUUUUGUAUGUCAAAAGUUUUUUGCCUUCUUAUUUCACUUAUUCUUUUGAUGUAGUAUGCUUUGUAAACUUAUUGAUUAAUACUCGAUCCUCCAAAUAUUUUUAUUAUUUACUUUUAUUCAUGUGAGUAUUAUUCAAAUAAUGCUACACUAAUUUUUGUAUACCCGUGCGGACGCCCGGGUAUGUUACUAGUUAUAUUUACAUAGCAAUAAAAAAGUCUUGUAAAAAUAGAUAACUAUCUUUCAUCUACCAUGAACUAAUGAAAUCAUUUAUCCCUUUCAAAUUUCAAUUAUCAAAUGAAAACAUGAGAGUAUUUAAUUUAACAUUGUUAUAAUAAUAAUAAAACAAGAUUCAUAAAAUACAACAUGUACUUACAUCCAUCAAAAGCAACAGAAACUAAGAAAGAGAGUUAAUCUGUUUACUUAACAAAGUAUGGAAGAUCCAAAACAUAAAGAAGGAAGUAAGCCCAAGUAACACCAGAAAUUCCACCAAAGAAAAA